GAACCAUUUAAAAUCAUGUACGCAUUGAAAAUAUGUGCGCUUUCCGAUGACUGUGUUUGAGCAAAAAAUACAUAGGCUUUUGUUUAAAAAUAUAUGUGUGUAUAAAAUCAUGAUUUCUUUGCCAUACACAUAGUAGAAUACAAAUAAGCCAGGGGACUACAUAUCAACUCCCUUGCUCUUAAAACAAAACAAUAAAACCUAUCAUUUCUUCUCUUCAGAGCAUUCUCCUCCUCUCCUUCUCGGGUGCCCUGUGUGGCUUCCAACGAAUCCUGCAUCACCACCGCCAAAGCCAAUGCAAGUGUUAUUUAGAUAGCAGAAAAACAAUGUGCAAUACAAUUAUAUAGACAUCUCUAGCAAAAUAUUGAUUGCACAUGUAGAUGGAGACUAAAACGAAGAAGGCAUUAAGAAUCAAGACGGAGAAGACUGGUCAUAGUAUCAGCCAGGAGUCUCAAAUGAAGUACUCCCUCUGUAAACUUUUAUAAGAGCGUUUAGAAUUUUAGGACACAGCCGACAAAUGGGGAAAUGGACAGUUUUACCCUCGAUUUGAAAUUUGAGUCGUCUUCCUCCUCCAGAGCUCGCGUCGUCUUCUUCCUACAGGAGCUCGCCCGUCUUCCUUCUCUAGCGUGCCGUCUUCCUCCUGCAGGAGCUCGCGUCAUCCCCUUCGUCCAAGCGCUCGGGCCCCGCCUGCAGGCACUCGCCCCCUUCGUCCAGGCGCUCGGUCCAGAUCCCAGGUGCCCAGUUCGGCCUCCGCUGCGCCCGCUUGGUUGCUGCCGCGCCCGCCCAACUUGGCUGCCGCUGUGCCCGCUUGGUAGCCGCCCCCGCCCAGCUUGGUCGUCGCUGCCCCAGAUUGGUCCUCGUCGCGCCCAGCCCACCUAGCUCGUCCCCGCCGCCGCAGCAUAUUGCUUCCAGGCAGGUUCUCCUCCCCUCUCCCCUUGCACAACAGCAGAACUCAGAUCAAUUCUUGUCUGCAAUCUUACAAAUCAAUUCUUCUGUACAGUAGAAGUCAGACUAAUUUCACAAUUUUCUGCACAGUAUCACUUGUGGGCAAUCUUACAAAUCAAUUCUUCUGUAAUCCAUAGAGUACUCCUGCAUUUGAAAAAAACCAAAUCGAUGUGUUCUCAUAGAAGAUUCUUUUCAUGAAAUUUGCUCAUGUAAGAAUGAGAAAGCUGAUGUGCACUUCUGUAGCGAUAGGGGCAUGCACUGAAUUGAUCUUAGCUUCAAACAGACUGAACUGAACUGAUAGGGGAGACAAGGAGAUGUUAUAGCGUACCUGGGAUUUGAGGAGGGGGCGAUGCCCAACCUACGACUCAUCUGUCUCCAUAGCAACGAUCUAGCUGAGUUGGAAAUUAAUCUGGUCGAUUCCCGUAACUAGGCAUCUAGCUAAGAUGGAAAUUAAUCUGGUCGGAGCAUGUGAUGUUUUCCUUUGUUCCAAUUUCUGCUUCUGAACAUAUUCAACAGUAUUUGCCAGUCCGGUUGCAGGAUGAAUGGUGGAUAAUCUGAUAAAAUCUUCAGGCCAUUAACACCACAUCUAGUGAAAUGCCAAGGAAAUUUGUCUUAGCUUCAAACAGACUGAACUGAAUUAGUCUUAACUUCAAACAAUGCAUCACAUGAUCAUUCCAGUGCCCACUUGAUUGUAAUGUUCCCACCCGAAUCAAGCGAAUCGUACGCGUCUGCAAAAUGCCAAGGAUUACUAGAUUCAGCAAAUUGACACAAAUUUUACAAAUGGCUCAGUUGAAUGAUCCUAGAGUACUCCUGCAUUUCUAUAUAAAUAAAAGGAGGAGUACCAUGAAGGAGCAUUUUGUCUCUACCGCAGCAUUACUAUGAAUCUGUACAACAACAUCUAAUGAUACUCCAUAUUUUUUUUCUCUAACGAAGUAUUACAAAGAGUUCAAAUUUAUUUGGUCAAUCUGGGCAAAUGUAUAUGAAUCUCUAUAGCUGAAUAAGCUAAUGCAUAUAAAUUCACACUAUUCUGCAUUACUACUCUUAUUCAGAAACUACUCCAUAUAAAUUCAGCAAAUGUAUAGAAACUAAAUUAUCAGUUAGCAGAAUUUACAAAGAGCUGAAUCUUUGCAGCAGCAUCUAAUGAUACCCCAUAUAAAUUUAUUACAGAGAGUUCAAACAUCUGCAUAUCUAAUGUUUUAGCUUAUAAACUUAACCAGUUCUGAACCAUAUAAACUGAAGAUUGUGUCAUUUGAUGGACUUGUUCAUGCAGAUAUAAGCAAGAGAAGCAGCAACACAAUCGUUUGAAGCCAUCCUUGAAAGAAAAGAAUAAAAAAGAAAGGAUCAAGUUCUGUUUGUCAAUGCUUGACGAGACCACCUUAGCAGCUCCAAGACCUAAAUUCAUCAGUAUGCACAACAUUGUGCAUAUUGACGAAAAGUGGUUCUAUAUGACAAAAAUGAACAGAUGCUACUACCUCCUCCCCGAGGAAGAUGACCCGGUCAGAACUGUCCGGAACAAAAACUGUAUUGGGAAAGUGAUGUUUCUGACCGCUGUUGCUCGACCUAGAUAUGACGCUGAAGGCAAUAUGACAUUCUCAGGUAAAAUUGGUGUCUGGCCCUUUGUGCAAGAGAUUCCUGCUGCUAGAAGAAGUGAGUAUAGAGCAAGAGGGACCAUUGAAAUCAAGUCCGUCAACAUGAACCGACGGGUAAUGAGGAGGUAUAUGAUAGAAAAAGUGGUUCCUGGAAUAAAGGAAGUCUGGCCCGCAGAUGAUACUAAUCCAAUAUUGAUCCAGCAAGAUAACGCAAGAACGCACAUUCUUCCAGGUGAUGCAGAGUUUGCAGAAGCUGUGGCUACAACUGGUCUGGACAUUAAAAUAAUAAACCAGCCUCCAAAUUCUCCUGAUCUAAACGCACUUGAUCUUGGAUAUUUCAGAUCCCUUGAGUCUUUGACCGACUGUAGAGCACCCACAACUAUCAAAGAACUGAUUCAAGGUGUGCAGGAAGAAUUUGAUGAGUAUGAUGCCGGAAAACUCAACAGAAUAUUUCUAACACUUGAGACCGUCAUGGUAGAAGUGAUGAACCAUGAAGGGGAAAAUGCAUACAAAAUUCCACAUUUGCGCAAGGAUAGAUUGGAAAGGCAAGGAAUCCUACCACCUAGGAUUCACUUUCCCCGUGAAGUUUAUGAACAUGCCAUGGAUAUUCUAGAACAAGAUGUCCAGUGAGCUUGGAUUGGAAAGGGAGAGAUACCGUACUCCAUGUUUGGCUUGUAGCGAAAGGCUUGUACUCCAUGUUUGUAGUGGAAAGGCAUUGACUAGUGUGGAAAGGAGAUGAGAGGAUAGGAGAGGAGAGGCAAGGAGAGGAGAUGCUUGUACUCGAUGUUUGUAAUGGAAAGUCUUGUACUCGAUGUCUGUAGUGGAAAGGAGAGGAGAGCAUAUGAUUUUCUGAAUUUUAGGAAUUUUAUAUGAAUUUUAGGAAGUUUCAGAAUUUAUCCCAGAAUUUUAUAUGAAAUUUCUGAAUUUGCGGAAAGGCUUUCUGUGAUUACAUUACCUGAAUUUUAUAUGAAGUUGUGAAAGGCUAUGUAUGAUUUCAGAAAAAAAUAUUAUAUGAAGUUUUUGAAGUUGUUGGAGAGGAGACAGAGGAGAAGAAAGGGCUUUGUAUGAUUACAUUUUCUGAAAUAUUCUGAAUUGUAUGCAAAUUUCUGAAUUUUAUGUUGUUUGUUGGAGAGGAGAGUUUCUAAAUUUCCUUCUGUUUGUUGGAGUAGGAGAGGAGAUAAUUACUCCUGGUCCUUUCUACAUCAAUUCAACAUGAACGAGGAGCUCCUAAUAUUGUGCUAAUAAUUCACCAACUAAUAGGACUCGGCUGAUAAUUCACCAAAUAAGCUUGUGCUAAUAAGAUGCUACUCUGCCGUCAGCCUUCUUUUAUUCCUACACCUCUUGGAAAAAAAUAACACAAACAUGCCUCUAGUGGAAGUAGAUAAAUAGGCUAAUGAAAGAGUACUCGUCCUAGUGGUAGAUUAAUUGGACAAAAUUAAAAGAUCAUGGUCAGGCUGCUCAUGGUCAUAAGCAGAGCAAUGUAAAGCAUGCACUGUUGAGAGUCUUGCCGCACUGGCAUUUCCUUAUAAACUAAACGCCCACAUUUCAUCAUUUGUACUCGAACAAAAGAUUCACAGAAGCAGUAGAUAAGACUGCAUUUGUUAUAGCAGUAGCAAAUGACAGGUGAUUGGUUGGAUACCUGCUCCACUACAUUUGCUAUAGCACAUGUGUUCUUGCAAAAAUCGCCGAUACAAACUGAGUAUGAAAAGAAGCAGCACAACAUCAUUGGCAUUCCUAUUUGGCAUUUUACUCCUAGAUACAGUAUGAUUAUUUCUGGGGUAAAAGCAGCAACCCAACCCCAGCUAUUCACUCUGAAAGAAUAGAAAGAAAAGGAAGGCCCCCAAGAAGGGGGCUGGACCCAAAUCCUCUGUCUCUGCUCUGAUUUUUACCUCUGUUUUUCUUCCCCGACGAGUUCAGUGAAUCUGCGUGUGCAUCCAUUGGAUCCCACCGUGCUAAGCUAGUUCGAGUGAGAUUAGAGAGGAGACCUUAACUUCUCUAGACAAUAGUACUCCUCGAAUCAUCCAUACAUCCAUACAGAGAAGCAAGAAGAGUAC
Molecule: long non-coding RNA, 4585 nt
Filed under: Triticum aestivum (bread wheat)
Lineage: Eukaryota; Viridiplantae; Streptophyta; Magnoliopsida; Poales; Poaceae
Description: long non-coding RNA (TAES_LNC007000)
Source: RNAcentral